GCUGUGAUGGCCGAGUGGUUAAGGCGUUGGAUUCGAAAUCCAAUGGGGUUUCCCUGCGCAGGUUCGAACCCUGCUCUCAGCG
This 82-nucleotide transfer RNA is filed under the name Dallia pectoralis (Alaska blackfish). Its description in RNAcentral is "tRNA-Ser". It matches the Rfam family "tRNA". From Rfam's summary of the family: Transfer RNA (tRNA) molecules are approximately 80 nucleotides in length. Their secondary structure includes four short double-helical elements and three loops (D, anti-codon, and T loops). Further hydrogen bonds mediate the characteristic L-shaped molecular structure. tRNAs have two regions of fundamental functional importance: the anti-codon, which is responsible for specific mRNA codon recognition, and the 3' end, to which the tRNAs corresponding amino acid is attached (by aminoacyl-tRNA synthetases). tRNAs cope with the degeneracy of the genetic code in two manners: having more than one tRNA (with a specific anti-codon) for a particular amino acid; and 'wobble' base-pairing, i.e. permitting non-standard base-pairing at the 3rd anti-codon position. The record is from RNAcentral. Lineage: Eukaryota; Metazoa; Chordata; Actinopteri; Esociformes; Umbridae.